UGUUUUGCAUUUACUUUUAUAUUUUUUCCCAUAACCAUUCACGUUUUUGGGACACAUAUCAAAGGAUUAGGGGAUUUGAUAGAUCAGUUCUCCAAUCUAGCUCUCUCCUUCAAAUCUCAGUUGGUUUACGAUGCUGAGUUCUGACUUCUGGAAUGUUUCUGAUCUAAUUUUAACUAUGAGGGAACCAAGGGAGUAGAAUUCCUCCCAUUGACGGAGUAGCUGAGUCAGGAACCACAUUAGCACUCGAAACCCGCAUUACCAGUCACCAUACAGAUUUGUUGCUGCAGUGGUGCUGUGGGGAAGGGCCACAUGUGGGGCCUGCGAGAAGCCCCCAGGAGGUCAGCCCCAAUAUGUUCAUCUUCAGGGAGCUUCAUCUCUCACAGGAUGCACGUAUUGGCACUGUGACCCUCUGGCCCUGUGGCAUUGGCAGAGACACUGGGCUCCGACCUACUCUUACCAGUGUCUUUCAGCAAGCCCAGGCAAACCACACCACCUUUCCAGGGUCCUUCUCCUCCAAAGGGACCAGUUAAUCUUUUGCCCAUUUCUAAAAUCAGCUUGUUUUAUUCUCCCCUCAUUAAUUUGUAGGCAUUCUUCAUAUAUUUUGGCCAUCAUCAGUGAUAGGUGUCACCAAUACCUUCUCCAGUCCAUGGCUUAACAUUUCAUGGCAGAAUGGUAGCUGCCGUGGCUUUAGCCCCAAGGUGGAACGCACCAAGGUACAGGGCCCACUCACACUCAAGGAGUUCUUUAUGAAGGCAACUGCAGCAGCGACCUCAAAGAAAGCGACCUUUCUUCUUCUUCUUUUGAAGCAUUUUUCCCUGUUUCCCUCUGACUUUUGAAUGUCAGUUGUUCAAUGUUUGAGCCAAAAGAAAGAUGAGAAAACCCUUCCAGGCAAGUUCCAGUUCAAAUGGGCUUAGUCACUAAUGCGCCCCACAAUUUUAAAUGUGACACCAGAAACCCAGGCUUGAUUAGGUUCUUUUCUCUUGUUUAGACCAAGAUGUUAGCCAGAGAUGUGUUGGUGACUUCUAGCAGCUUCCUAAAGCAUACCAGCAUAACCAAGAUGUUAGCCAGAGAUGUGCCGGUGACUUCUAGCAGCUUCCUAAAGCAUACCAGCCUCCUCCUCUGAAACUGCUUUCCCUUCCCUCUCUGAGAGGGAACAGGAUGCCCCAAGCAGGUUACAGCAAAGGAAGAGCAGAGACUAUUUCCUUCAGUUUCCUGCCGUUUUCCAAGCGUUGACGUCAAUUGGGAUUACUGAGAGCCCAGGGAUAAUUUUAGCCCAAAGCACACUCUACUCCAAGGAGGAAGGAAGCAUCUCGUUCUUGCUAAGGCAGAUCAGAUGACCUGCUUUCUUCAUGGAGGGCCAAGUCAACAUGUUUAUCCUGUAACUUCUUCAGAGUUAUGGCUUCGAAGGCUGUGCCCUGAGUUUCUGUUAGCCACGUUCAGCUAUCCGUUCAUGUAUACCUCCAAGUCCUAGCCUCUGCUUUUCAUGUACUUUCAGCCAAAUGACAACUUAGCCCACUUCUGCUUUUUCCUUAAUAAAUUCCCAAUCUUGUAGAUGUUUCUACCAAAUCUAA
Molecule: long non-coding RNA, 1571 nt
Organism: Mustela erminea (ermine)
Lineage: Eukaryota; Metazoa; Chordata; Mammalia; Carnivora; Mustelidae
Exons: 2
Source: RefSeq, a predicted model, not a curated record